RNAcentral lists this ribosomal RNA (468 nucleotides) under uncultured bacterium. RNAcentral's name for it is "partial 16S ribosomal RNA". It matches the Rfam family "Bacterial small subunit ribosomal RNA", at positions 28 to 507 of the family's 1533-position model. The record is from RNAcentral.
GACGAACGCUGGCGGCGGGCUUAACACAUGCAAGUCGAACGGAAAGGCCCUGCUUUUGUGGGGUGCUCGAGUGGCGAACGGGUGGGUAACACGUGAGUAACCUGCCCUUGACUUUGGGAUAACUUCAGGAAACUGGGGCUAAUACCGGAUAGGAGCUCCUGCUGCAUGGUGGGGGUUGGAAAGUUUCGGCGGUUGGGGAUGGACUCGCGGCUUAUCAGCUUGUUGGUGGGGUAGUGGCUUACCAAGGCGUUGAAGGGUAGCCGGCCUGGGAGGGUGACCGGCCACCUGGGGACUGAGAGACGGCCCAGACUCCAACGGUAGGCAGCAGUGGGGAAUAUUGCACAAUGGGCGGAAGCCUGAUGCAGCAACGCCGCGUGCGGGAUGACGGCCUUCGGGUUGUAAACCGCUUUCGCCUGUGACGAAGCGUGAGUGACGGUAAUGGGUAAAGAAGCACCGGCUAACUACGUG